This 440-nucleotide ribosomal RNA is filed under the name uncultured bacterium. RNAcentral's name for it is "bacterial SSU rRNA". It matches the Rfam family "Bacterial small subunit ribosomal RNA", at positions 959 to 1397 of the family's 1533-position model. The record is from RNAcentral.
ACGCGUGGAACCUUACCAGGUCUUGACAUCCCAUUGACCGCUAUGGAGACAUAGCUUUCCCUUUUAGGGACAGUGGUGACAGGUGGUGCAUGGUUGUCGUCAGCUCGUGUCGUGAGAUGUUGGGUUAAGUCCCGCAACGAGCGCAACCCUUGUUCUUAGUUGCCAUCAUUUAGUUGGGCACUCUAAGGAGACUGCCGGUGACAAACCGGAGGAAGGUGGGGAUGACGUCAAAUCAUCAUGCCCCUUAUGACCUGGGCUACACACGUGCUACAAUGGACGGUACAAACGGUUGCCAACCCGCGAGGGGGAGCUAAUCCGAUAAAACCGUUCUCAGUUCGGAUUGUAGGCUGCAACUCGCCUACAUGAAGCCGGAAUCGCUAGUAAUCGCGGAUCAGCAUGCCGCGGUGAAUACGUUCCCGGGCCUUGCACACACCGCCCGU